Long non-coding RNA from Sparus aurata (gilthead seabream), 3599 nucleotides. Lineage: Eukaryota; Metazoa; Chordata; Actinopteri; Spariformes; Sparidae. The record is from Ensembl.
UAUUCAUCAUUGAAUAUGACCAAAGCAGAAGCUCUUCCCCAUGAACCAGUCCAUCUCCAUGUACAGAGCACAGCUCCUUGUCUGAGUGACCACGACCUGUCCAAACUGGUCAGCAUAUCUCCUUUAUUCAAGACCCUGCAGGAAAUCCAACAGUCUUUACAGGACCUUUCCACGGCUGAGUUGAAUCAGCAUCUCCGCAGCGGUACAGAAAGUCUCAAUACAAGACACUCUAAGGAGCAGUUAAACCCAUAAUCAGUGUCACCAAGUAUGGUAAAUGUGAAGCCUAAAAUAGACAAUUUUCUAUCUGUUUUAGCAGCUGUAGAGCAUUGUGUGCAGGAGAGCAGUGGUGGGCAACUAAUCCCGACUGCGCUGGACAACCUCUCACCUCUACACUCGGCUGUUUUCCUCUUUGGUUGCCAGGUGAUGCAGUUGCUUUCAAACUGCCCCCUGUUCCCCUCUGUGCUCUUGCUGCUGGCCAAGUCACUCCCUGUGUCUUCAUCCUCCUCUAAUGAGGCUCUGCUGGCACACUGUUCAAGGGACUUUUAUUUUGACGCCACCAAUCAAAUCCUUUAUCUGUCGGAGGCAAAGCUUCACCAUGUGGGACAUUUCAUCGCUACUAUUCUGCAAUCCAUGGCACACAUAGCAUCAGGAUCUAAAUCCCAGAGCUUUAUGCAAGCCCUCCAUGAGGCUAUUUCAGCUUUAAGCCUUCAGCUGUUCAACUUUUCUUUCAAAUGGAACACAGCAGAGCCAAAAUUAGAUGCCUCAGAGGGGCAGCAUGGUGCAUUAGUUGAGGAAUUUCUCAAUAUUCGAGUUCCCAAUGAAGCGCAAUUCACUGAGCACCUAUUGGCUAGCAGACUUGAGCGAUACAAAUAUUUCAAAUUGGAGCAGCUCAUCACAGACCUCAAACAGCGUUCAUCCGGGGACAGAAACACAGGUUUACCACCAAAAGGGACGCCAAUGCAGAUGUCCUGUGUAGAGGAAGAGAUCGACCGCAUGAAUGAGUCUUUCUUGCACCUGAGCUUGCAGCUACAGGAGAGAGCUCAAAUGAGCACACGGCUGAAAGAGAGAGAGAACAGUGCUGGCAACCAUUCUGUGAGGGCGACACCAACAAGCAUGCCCAGCCUCAGUCGUAAUGGAACAAUCCUGCUGGAACUGAAGAGACGCCAUGUAUCACAGUGCCUCAAUGAGCUCCAGAUCACAUUAGGCCAGAUGAGACGGUGCCAGCAGCCUGACAGCAAGUCAAGAGACGGGACGAGAGGCCGUACUCAAACAGACGGCAGCGCCACUCAGCAGGAGCAAAGGAAGCAUUAUCCUGGCAUAGAUGGCGGCAGUCUUGCUGUCGGCCAGCGGCAGGACAGUAUUCUAGCUAGCCAGAGUCACAGCCAACAAACCAUAGAGAGCUUCGGUAACCAUAAACUGGAGAGUCAUAUUUCUGGGCAGCAGACGAGUGGCACUGUCCAGAGCAACGACCCUGAUGCUUUUCCAGACUGCCAGAUGCUUGAGAGCCAAGAUCGGCUGAAUCUCAAUGUCGCAGGAGAGCAGGAGCUAAACAGUCAGAUCACAAUAGAAAAUACAAUUGGACACACAGAUAUUGAUGACAUGUGGGGGCCUCCUGAUCAGAAACUUGAUCUGAAUGUCGAUAAAUGCUGAGAAAUGUGUUGUUUGUGUGGGUUUCUCUCACCAUUGUAUGUAGGUCUCCUUCCUCUAUUUCACAAUUAUAGUUUUACUACAAAGCCUUCCACAAACUUUCUUUUAAAUGUCCUUUAAGUGUCCCGUAAGAAAUCUGAUGAAGCUGCUUUCUUUUAAAAUAGAAUAUGAAACAGUCUCAAUUCAACAAUGAUACCUCUGUAGGUCAUACUAUCAGCGAGAACAUUGACUGUUUCUAUAUAGGUAUCAAAGUUAUUUUUAAUGACUAUCACAGGCUCUGAUUCAUUUGGGUUGGAUACGUUAUACCUGGUCGCCCAUGAGUCCUUCAAACAGCUGUAUUAAAAAUGUUUUUAUUUCCUUCACUCACUUUCAAACCAGUGCGAAUGCACAAGUUCCUUGUGGCACCUUUGCUUCUAUCAUUAUUAAUGUUUUAUUGUAUUGUUUUCAAUCACUUUUGUUUGUUUGUUUGUUGGUUUUAUGCUCAAUUAUCAUUGUCUUAUAUGAAGUGUUUAUAUCAAUUUGAUCAGGUUUAUUUAAAGGGUGACUCCUCCAAUUUUACAUAUUAAAUGGUGUUUCCAGAUCUUGGGGAGUAUUAAAUAAAAGUUGUGAUAAAAGUUAAAUAAAAGGCUUCAUACUACUUUUUUCACAUAUGCAGUAGUACUGCCAAAUACCUUUAAACACACCUUUAUUGUGACUGUAUCCUUUAAGCACUUUGAACUGCAUCUUUAUAUGAACAGUGCAAUACAAAGUCAUUUUUUAUUAUUUUGUCCUUUUCCAUGCUCAGCCUAGAAUAGCUUGGUAAUCAAUGCACUGUAUUAUCUUCUUUCUUUGUUUGUCGAGGAAUGAUCUGAGUGACCUCCGUCUUAAUUCGCACCAGCUUAUAAACAACUCGGCUGUGUUCUUCUUUAAUUAUCCGUGAUCCCUGGCUAGAAAUAAUGUCUGGCUACGAGCAACUGUGUGACACAGUCCGUCCUCUUGUCCAAAUAGUUUCUUUUUCAGGAGCUUAUACUGGCCUUUAAGACAGGCUCUGUUCAUUACCAUAUUCUAAUUGAGACAAUAAACUUCAGCUGAGUGAACACAAGGUGACACUCCUGCUUAUGCAGCGACUCCUGCUCACAACAAACUCUCCCCUGUGUAGAGGUCCUCAUGAAUAUUAUAUUAAACUACAAAAACUGUCUCUUUUUCUCUGUUUUGCAUGAGGACCUCUAACAUUCCUUCUCCAAGCCCUUUUUUCAGUGUGGUGAGGUUUCUCUAUAACCAGAGGGUCAGCCAAGUGGAAGCAAAAGUAGCAACUGAAUUUGAAGUCCUGUUUGAUCUGCUGCAGAAGAGAAGUCUAUGCUGCUUGACUGAUGCAAGGGGUUCUGGGUCUUAUAAUAGAAACUGAGUAUUCCUACAGGGGGCUGUGAGCCAAAUCAGAAGGUCAGAUGGAACAAGUCUUCUCUUACUAUCAGUGUUAGCUUCAAGCUCUGUGCCAAGUCCCUUGGGUUGAAUCUGGCAGUGCCCUGCGGCUGUGUGUGUGUGACUGUGUGCUUAUAUGGGGUGUGGUUCAGUGGCUGCCUAAGAUUAUGUUCCUUUAUCAAUUAGAUUAGCUGUAAUGUGCCACUGAUCUGGCCUGUGUGUCUGCCUCGCAGUGGGACAAGGCAUCAUAUAACUCCAUGAUGUGCUGCUCUGGAGUGAUGUGCGUGUGAAGUCACUCUGUGGUGAUCUGCAGUGCUGCAACAUUAUGCUUGCUCUAGUUGUUUAGAUCAACAUGGAGGUUAUUUUUAGGAAGACUGCUCUUUGUGUGAUGUUUGCUUAAGUAUAUGCACAUCCUGUAUAUUCAUAUGUAUGAGGACUUCAGAUAAAAGCUAUUCUUUGAAAUGAAUAAAAAACACAGUUUGAUUGAAAUGCCUUUGAAUGCCCCUUAAAAGAAUAAAACAUAAAGAAUUCAAGUACUAUUAUUUGAACAUGGG